UAAUGCUACUGUCCUUUCACCUAGAUACGGGCACAGGUACCUCAGGCAGCUUUACGAACCUCUCCAAAUAUUAAGGGAGAUCUUCUCUUGCCCAGAAUUUUUGUAUAAUAGUACCAUUAGGACCUCGGUGCAAUAUAAAUAUAACAUAACUAGAGGUGUCUGAUUUAGCAGUCAGACAAUUUUAUACUCUGUAAAUACUACGGAGAAAGAAUAUUGGGAUGAAUGACCGGAUUCUGGACUACUGAAAGGGCUGGUACGUGGACCUGCCUGCAGACUAAGCCGCUGCUCUCAGAAGGUUCCCUGGAGCUGUCAGGUGCCUCAGCCAAAACCUCUUGAUUUGCAUCUCUGUAUUCUGUAUUUCUGUUGUGCAUAUGUUGAAAAGUUCCCUAAGGCCAAUACAAGACGCAUGCUAUGUGACACAUCUUUUUUAAGGAUUUUAUCUCUCUGUCCUCUUACCGAUGGCUUCUAUGCUUUUUAAAGUACCGAUGUUUUAUGUGUCAGAACACGUUUUUAUUUCCCCUCCAUACUUCCUGGGAGGAAAGGAAACCUACCUCUACACAAGGAACCUGUCUGCUGCUUUCCUGUUCAAACUAAGUGACGAGUGAAGCUGUCAAAAUCUGCAAUAUUUUGUUUGGUAAAAACACUUUGAGUCCAGGACACACAACCCUGGAGAUCUGAGUGCAACUUUUGGUAUGCGCUGGAAAAACAUACAGGAAUUCUCUACUCUGCUUCACUAACAGUGUGGAGGGAUUGUUUCAGGAACAAGUUCCUUACUUGUUUACUUCUAUGAUACUUUUUAUUGGUUUCCUUAUUAGUGUCAUUAAUAGCUUGAGCAGUUCUUCGUCCAAAAAAGUGUGUAGAAAUGUGCAGCAAUCUUAUGCCUGCAAAUGCUGAUGCAAAGAUUCUCAAUGUCCUCCCUUUUUCAUGGAAAGAUAAAAAUUCAAAAAUUUUGAAAGACUUCAACUAAUAGGAUGAAGACAGCAGUUAAUGACAUCACUCAGGUCUGCGCUGCCCCUUCAGAACACUAUCACUUUGCUUUUUUUUUUUGUUCCUUAAAGGGAUAUUACCUUUAUAUGAAAUGUUUAGAACAAUGCAAAUCACUGAGAACCUCCAAAUAAAACCAUCAAAGCCAAGUUCAUGGUUCUUGUUUGAAAAUAGAUGAGAUGUGAUUCUGGUAAAGUUAUACUUCGAAUUUGUUUAAACCCAACUCUCCAAGCAAAUAUUAUAGGGCCACAAUUUAUAAAGGGCCAAACCUUUACAUAUCUCUUUACAUAUCUCUUUACAUGUCUUCAUAAUGAUAUUGUCUAAAUGCCAACAACUACAGCAGUUGAAUAUCUUUAAUGAGAGAUAGUUACGGCUGUCGUGUUUUGUGUCCCCAGUUGUGAAAGUACUUUGAGGUGGAUAUCUGAGGCUGCUGAAGGAGUAGCUUUCAGUGUAGUUUUGAUGCUAUAUGUCUAAAUUAUAGGCUUUAACAAAUUUUUGGACUGCUAA
Long non-coding RNA from Cuculus canorus (common cuckoo), 1491 nucleotides. RefSeq lists it as uncharacterized. The transcript has 6 exons. The record is from RefSeq and is a predicted model, not a curated record. NCBI's taxonomy places the organism in Eukaryota, Metazoa, Chordata, Aves, Cuculiformes, Cuculidae.